RNAcentral lists this unclassified non-coding RNA (297 nucleotides) under uncultured fungus. Its description in RNAcentral is "partial contains small subunit ribosomal RNA, internal transcribed spacer 1, and 5.8S ribosomal RNA". The stretch from base 1 to 73 matches the Rfam family "Eukaryotic small subunit ribosomal RNA", at positions 1759 to 1831 of the family's 1831-position model. The record is from RNAcentral. Lineage: Eukaryota; Fungi.
CCAAACUUGGUCAUUUAGAGGAAGUAAAAGUCGUAACAAGGUUUCCGUAGGUGAACCUGCGGAAGGAUCAUUACUGAGUAAUUGGGUCUUUAUGGCUCAUAACUCCCACCCUUUGUAUACCUUACCAAAUUUUUAAGUUGCCUUGGUAGGAAUCACUACCCCCCCUAGGGGACGCGUAGGCCUACCAUUGGAACUAUUUUAAACUCUUAUCAAUUGAGUCGUCUGAGAAAUAAAUUCAAAUGAAUUAAAACUUUCAACAACGGAUCUCUUGGUUCUGGCAUCGAUGAAGAACGCAGC